GAGUGAAAUGAGGAGGAAAGAUUCCCUAUUGGUUUGAGUGCCGGAAUGAUGGCAUUCUGUAUUAGCUCUAUCUGAUCACUC
This is a small nucleolar RNA of Cryptomeria japonica (Japanese cedar), 81 nucleotides long. RefSeq annotates it as small nucleolar RNA Z102/R77. NCBI's taxonomy places the organism in Eukaryota, Viridiplantae, Streptophyta, Pinopsida, Cupressales, Cupressaceae. The record is from RefSeq and is a predicted model, not a curated record. The transcript has a single exon.